Molecule: ribosomal RNA, 402 nt
Filed under: uncultured bacterium
Lineage: Bacteria
Description: bacterial SSU rRNA
Rfam family: Bacterial small subunit ribosomal RNA
Source: RNAcentral
CAGGACUUGACAUCCCUGUGACCGGGCCGUAACGGGACCUUUCCCUUCGGGGACACAGGAGACAGGUGGUGCAUGGUUGUCGUCAGCUCGUGUCGUGAGAUGUUGGGUUAAGUCCCGCAACGAGCGCAACCCUUGUCUUUAGUUGCCAGCAAGUAAAGUUGGGCACUCUAGAGAGACUGCCGGGGAUAACUCGGAGGAAGGUGGGGAUGACGUCAAAUCAUCAUGCCCCUUAUGUUCUGGGCUACACACGUGCUACAAUGGCUGGUACAACGGGAAGCGAAAGAGUAAUCUGGAGCAAAUCCUAAAAGCCAGUCUCAGUUCGGAUUGUGGGCUGCAACUCGCCCACAUGAGGUCGGAGUUGCUAGUAAUCGCGGAUCAGAAUGUCGCGGUGAAUGCGUUCCC